UGUGACUGCGUACCUUUUGUAUAAUGGGUCAGCGACUUAUAUUCUGUAGCAAGGUUAACCGAAUAGGGGAGCCGAAGGGAAACCGAGUCUUAACUGGGCGUUAAGUUGCAGGGUAUAGACCCGAAACCCGGUGAUCUAGCCAUGGGCAGGUUGAAGGUUGGGUAACACUAACUGGAGGACCGAACCGACUAAUGUUGAAAAAUUAGCGGAUGACUUGUGGCUGGGGGUGAAAGGCCAAUCAAACCGGGAGAUAGCUGGUUCUCCCCGAAAGCUAUUUAGGUAGCGCCUCGUGAAUUCAUCUCCGGGGGUAGAGCACUGUUUCGGCAAGGGGGUCAUCCCGACUUACCAACCCGAUGCAAACUGCGAAUACCGGAGAAUGUUAUCACGGGAGACACACGGCGGGUGCUAACGUCCGUCGUGAAGAGGGAAACAACCCAGACCGCCAGCUAAGGUCCCAAAGUCAUGGUUAAGUGGGAAACGAUGUGGGAAGGCCCAGACAGCCAGGAUGUUGGCUUAGAAGCAGCCAUCAUUUAAAGAAAGCGUAAUAGCUCACUGGUCGAGUCGGCCUGCGCGGAAGAUGUAACGGGGCUAAACCAUGCACCGAAGCUGCGGCAGCGACACUGUGUGUUGUUGGGUAGGGGAGCGUUCUGUAAGCCUGUGAAGGUGUGCUGUGAGGCAUGCUGGAGGUAUCAGAAGUGCGAAUGCUGACAUAAGUAACGAUAAAGCGGGUGAAAAGCCCGCUCGCCGGAAGACCAAGGGUUCCUGUCCAACGUUAAUCGGGGCAGGGUGAGUCGACCCCUAAGGCGAGGCCGAAAGGCGUAGUCGAUGGGAAACAGGUUAAUAUUCCUGUACUUGGUGUUACUGCGAAGGGGGGACGGAGAAGGCUAUGUUGGCCGGGCGACGGUUGUCCCGGUUUAAGCGUGUAGGCUGGUUUUCCAGGCAAAUCCGGAAAAUCAAGGCUGAGGCGUGAUGACGAGGCACUACGGUGCUGAAGCAACAAAUGCCCUGCUUCCAGGAAAAGCCUCUAAGCAUCAGGUAACAUCAAAUCGUACCCCAAACCGACACAGGUGGUCAGGUAGAGAAUACCAAGGCGCUUGAGAGAACUCGGGUGAAGGAACUAGGCAAAAUGGUGCCGUAACUUCGGGAGAAGGCACGCUGAUAUGUAGGUGAAGUCCCUCGCGGAUGGAGCUGAAAUCAGUCGAAGAUACCAGCUGGCUGCAACUGUUUAUUAAAAACACAGCACUGUGCAAACACGAAAGUGGACGUAUACGGUGUGACGCCUGCCCGGUGCCGGAAGGUUAAUUGAUGGGGUCAGCGCAAGCGAAGCUCUUGAUCGAAGCCCCGGUAAACGGCGGCCGUAACUAUAACGGUCCUAAGGUAGCGAAAUUCCUUGUCGGGUAAGUUCCGACCUGCACGAAUGGCGUAAUGAUGGCCAGGCUGUCUCCACCCGAGACUCAGUGAAAUUGAACUCGCUGUGAAGAUGCAGUGUACCCGCGGCAAGACGGAAAGACCCCGUGAACCUUUACUAUAGCUUGACACUGAACAUUGAGCCUUGAUGUGUAGGAUAGGUGGGAGGCUUUGAAGUGUGGACGCCAGUCUGCAUGGAGCCGACCUUGAAAUACCACCCUUUAAUGUUUGAUGUUCUAACGUGGACCCGUGAUCCGGGUUGCGGACAGUGUCUGGUGGGUAGUUUGACUGGGGCGGUCUCCUCCUAAAGAGUAACGGAGGAGCACGAAGGUUGGCUAAUCCUGGUCGGACAUCAGGAGGUUAGUGCAAUGGCAUAAGCCAGCUUGACUGCGAGCGUGACGGCGCGAGCAGGUGCGAAAGCAGGUCAUAGUGAUCCGGUGGUUCUGAAUGGAAGGGCCAUCGCUCAACGGAUAAAAGGUACUCCGGGGAUAACAGGCUGAUACCGCCCAAGAGUUCAUAUCGACGGCGGUGUUUGGCACCUCGAUGUCGGCUCAUCACAUCCUGGGGCUGAAGUAGGUCCCAAGGGUAUGGCUGUUCGCCAUUUAAAGUGGUACGCGAGCUGGGUUUAGAACGUCGUGAGACAGUUCGGUCCCUAUCUGCCGUGGGCGCUGGAGAACUGAGGGGGGCUGCUCCUAGUACGAGAGGACCGGAGUGGACGCAUCACUGGUGUUCGGGUUGUCAUGCCAAUGGCACUGCCCGGUAGCUAAAUGCGGAAGAGAUAAGUGCUGAAAGCAUCUAAGCACGAAACUUGCCCCGAGAUGAGUUCUCCCUGACCCUUUAAGGGUCCUGAAGGAACGUUGAAGACGACGACGUUGAUAGGCCGGGUGUGUAAGCGCAGCGAUGCGUUGAGCUAACCGGUACUAAUGAACCGUGAGGCUUAACCUU
RNAcentral lists this ribosomal RNA (2352 nucleotides) under Escherichia coli. RNAcentral describes it as "partial 23S ribosomal RNA". It matches the Rfam family "Bacterial large subunit ribosomal RNA", at positions 592 to 2925 of the family's 2925-position model. Lineage: Bacteria; Pseudomonadati; Pseudomonadota; Gammaproteobacteria; Enterobacterales; Enterobacteriaceae. RNAcentral also lists the same sequence under 1 other name. The record is from RNAcentral.